CCCUUAGAUGUUCUGGGCCGCACGCGCGCUACACUGAUGCAUUCAACAAGCCUAGCCUUGACCGAGAGGUCCGGGUAAUCUUUGAAACUGCAUCGUGAUGGGGCUAGAUUAUUGCAAUUAUUAAUCUUCAACGAGGAAUGCCUAGUAAGCGUGAUUCAUCAAAUCGCGUUGAUUACGUCCCUGCCCUUUGUACACACCGCCCGUCGCUCCUACCGAUUGAAUGAUCCGAUGAAUACCAUGGAUUGAGAGUACGAAUAGGUUCGCUUAUUUCUGCUUCUCGAGAAGUGGAGUAAAUCUUAUCAUUUAGAGGAAGGAGAAGUCGUAACA
This 327-nucleotide ribosomal RNA is filed under the name uncultured eukaryote. RNAcentral describes it as "partial 18S ribosomal RNA". It matches the Rfam family "Eukaryotic small subunit ribosomal RNA", at positions 1470 to 1796 of the family's 1831-position model. The record is from RNAcentral.